This 445-nucleotide ribosomal RNA is filed under the name uncultured soil bacterium. Its description in RNAcentral is "bacterial SSU rRNA". It matches the Rfam family "Bacterial small subunit ribosomal RNA", at positions 26 to 518 of the family's 1533-position model. The record is from RNAcentral.
AGAACGAACGCUGGCGGCAUGCCUAAUACAUGCAAGUCGAACGAGAUCUUCGGGUCUAGUGGCGCACGGGUGCGUAACGCGUGGGAAUCUACCCUUGGGUUCGGAAUAACAGUUGGAAACGACUGCUAAUACCGGAUGAUGACGAAAGUCCAAAGAUUUAUCGCCCAGGGAUGAGCCCGCGUAGGAUUAGCCAGUUGGUGAGGUAAAGGCUCACCAAGGCUACGAUCCUUAGCUGGUCUGAGAGGAUGAUCAGCCACACUGGGACUGAGACACGGCCCAGACUCCUACGGGAGGCAGCAGUAGGGAAUAUUGGACAAUGGGGGCAACCCUGAUCCAGCAAUGCCGCGUGAGUGAUGAAGGCCUUAGGGUUGUAAAGCUCUUUACCCGAGAUGAUAAUGACAGUAUCGGGAGAAUAAGCUCCGGCUAACUCCGCGCCAGCAGCCGC